ACUCAAAUGAAUUGACGGGGGCCCGCACAAGCGGUGGAUUAUGUGGAUUAAUUCGAUGCAACGCGAAAAACCUUACCUGGCCUUGACAUGUACCGAAUUUACCAGAGAUGGUUUAGUGCUCGAAAGAGAACGGUAACACAGGUGCUGCAUGGCUGUCGUCAGCUCGUGUCGUGAGAUGUUGGGUUAAGUCCCGCAACGAGCGCAACCCUUGCCAUUAAUUGCCAUCAUUUAGUUGGGCACUUUAAUGGGACUGCCGGUGACAAACCGGAGGAAGGUGGGGAUGACGUCAAGUCCUCAUGGCCCUUAUGGCCAGGGCUUCACACGUAAUACAAUGGUCGGUACAGAGGGUUGCCAACCCGCGAGGGGGAGCCAAUCCCAGAAAGCCGAUCGUAGUCCGGAUUGUAGUCUGCAACUCGACUACAUGAAGUCGGAAUCGCUAGUAAUCGCGGAUCAGCAUGUCGCGGUGAAUACGUUCCCGGGCCUUGUACACACCGCCCGU
RNAcentral lists this ribosomal RNA (499 nucleotides) under uncultured bacterium. RNAcentral describes it as "partial 16S ribosomal RNA". It matches the Rfam family "Bacterial small subunit ribosomal RNA", at positions 899 to 1397 of the family's 1533-position model. The record is from RNAcentral.